This 457-nucleotide unclassified non-coding RNA is filed under the name Hevea brasiliensis (rubber tree). Lineage: Eukaryota; Viridiplantae; Streptophyta; Magnoliopsida; Malpighiales; Euphorbiaceae. The record is from RNAcentral.
AAUUGAGGUGUGCGAUGAGGUGAUCUCUGCUUCGAUUAAGAAGAUACACGAGCAUCGGAGGAGGCGGGCGUUCUUUCUUGGGUUUAGCCAGUCUCCGGUUGAGUUCAUAAAUGCGCUGAUUUCAUCACAGAGUAAGGAUUUGAAGAUGGUUGCUGGGGAGGCAAGUCGGAAUGCGGAGAGGGAGCGUCGAUCUGAUUUCUACAACCAACCAUGGGUCGAAGAUGCUGUUAUACGCUAUCUGAAUCGCAAGCCGGCAGGCGGUAAUGAUGGCCCUGGAAGCACAUGAUGCAUCUCUUAUGUUUGGGAGAAGGAAACCAUGCAUAUUUUCAAAAUGGCGAGUUUCGUUGUCUGGAGUUCAAGAAAUCACCCUGGAGUUUAAGAAAUCACCGGUUGUCUUUCGUGGAUGAAUGUUGUACCAUUAGGUAACUUGGUCGAUCAGAUGAAAUGUAGGAUAAGU